GAAUAUGGCCAUACUACCCUGAACGUGCCUGAUCUUGUCUGAUCUCAGAAACCAGAGCUUUUUAAAACCAGAAGGGAUUUCAAAGGUUAUCUAAAUUAAAUUGCUUCAUUUU
Molecule: ribosomal RNA, 112 nt
Organism: Prolemur simus (greater bamboo lemur)
Lineage: Eukaryota; Metazoa; Chordata; Mammalia; Primates; Lemuridae
Source: Ensembl